RNAcentral lists this non-coding RNA (26 nucleotides) under Homo sapiens (human). The record is from RNAcentral. Lineage: Eukaryota; Metazoa; Chordata; Mammalia; Primates; Hominidae.
CAAAGCCAAGGAAUGGCAGGGAUUGC